GUGCUCACAUCAGCAGCACAUAUACUAAAAUUGGAAUGAUGCAGAGGAGAUUAGCAUGGGCCCUGUGCAAGGAUGACACACAAAUUCGUGAAGCAUUCCAUAUUUUU
This 107-nucleotide small nuclear RNA is filed under the name Sorex araneus (European shrew). The record is from RNAcentral. Lineage: Eukaryota; Metazoa; Chordata; Mammalia; Eulipotyphla; Soricidae.